GGUCCCGUAGUUCAACGGAUAGAAUAGCGGUUUCCUAAACCGUAGAUAUGGGUUCGAUUCCCGUCGGGACUA
RNAcentral lists this transfer RNA (72 nucleotides) under Carboxylicivirga linearis. RNAcentral describes it as "tRNA-Arg". It matches the Rfam family "tRNA". Rfam says of the family: Transfer RNA (tRNA) molecules are approximately 80 nucleotides in length. Their secondary structure includes four short double-helical elements and three loops (D, anti-codon, and T loops). Further hydrogen bonds mediate the characteristic L-shaped molecular structure. tRNAs have two regions of fundamental functional importance: the anti-codon, which is responsible for specific mRNA codon recognition, and the 3' end, to which the tRNAs corresponding amino acid is attached (by aminoacyl-tRNA synthetases). tRNAs cope with the degeneracy of the genetic code in two manners: having more than one tRNA (with a specific anti-codon) for a particular amino acid; and 'wobble' base-pairing, i.e. permitting non-standard base-pairing at the 3rd anti-codon position. Lineage: Bacteria; Pseudomonadati; Bacteroidota; Bacteroidia; Marinilabiliales; Marinilabiliaceae. RNAcentral also lists the same sequence under 4 other names. The record is from RNAcentral.